Non-coding RNA from Schistosoma mattheei, 45 nucleotides. Lineage: Eukaryota; Metazoa; Platyhelminthes; Trematoda; Strigeidida; Schistosomatidae. The record is from Rfam.
AUCCAGCCGACGAGUCUCAAAUAGGAUGAAACGCUCGACCUGGAU